Molecule: ribosomal RNA, 1446 nt
Filed under: uncultured organism
Description: SSU rRNA
Rfam family: Bacterial small subunit ribosomal RNA
Source: RNAcentral
AUGAACGCUAGCUACAGGCUUAACACAUGCAAGUCGAGGGGCAUCAGGAAGAAAGCUUGCUUUCUUUGCUGGCGACCGGCGCACGGGUGAGUAACACGUAUCCAACCUGCCCUUUACUCGGGGAUAGCCUUUCGAAAGAAAGAUUAAUACCCGAUAGCAUAAUGAUUCCGCAUGGUUUCAUUAUUAAAGGAUUCCGGUAAAGGAUGGGGAUGCGUUCCAUUAGGUUGUUGGUGAGGUAACGGCCCACCAAGCCUUCGAUGGAUAGGGGUUCUGAGAGGAAGGUCCCCCACAUUGGAACUGAGACACGGUCCAAACUCCUACGGGAGGCAGCAGUGAGGAAUAUUGGUCAAUGGGCGCUAGCCUGAACCAGCCAAGUAGCGUGAAGGAUGAAGGCUCUAUGGGUCGUAAACUUCUUUUAUAUAAGAAUAAAGUGCAGUAUGUAUACUGUUUUGUAUGUAUUAUAUGAAUAAGGAUCGGCUAACUCCGUGCCAGCAGCCGCGGUAAUACGGAGGAUCCGAGCGUUAUCCGGAUUUAUUGGGUUUAAAGGGAGCGUAGGUGGACUGGUAAGUCAGUUGUGAAAGUUUGCGGCUCAACCGUAAAAUUGCAGUUGAUACUGUCAGUCUUGAGUACAGUAGAGGUGGGCGGAAUUCGUGGUGUAGCGGUGAAAUGCUUAGAUAUCACGAAGAACUCCGAUUGCGAAGGCAGCUCACUGGACUGCAACUGACACUGAUGCUCGAAAGUGUGGGUAUCAAACAGGAUUAGAUACCCUGGUAGUCCACACAGUAAACGAUGAAUACUCGCUGUUUGCGAUAUACAGUAAGCGGCCAAGCGAAAGCAUUAAGUAUUCCACCUGGGGAGUACGCCGGCAACGGUGAAACUCAAAGGAAUUGACGGGGGCCCGCACAAGCGGAGGAACAUGUGGUUUAAUUCGAUGAUACGCGAGGAACCUUACCCGGGCUUAAAUUGCAGUGGAAUGAUGUGGAAACAUGUCAGUGAGCAAUCACCGCUGUGAAGGUGCUGCAUGGUUGUCGUCAGCUCGUGCCGUGAGGUGUCGGCUUAAGUGCCAUAACGAGCGCAACCCUUAUCUUUAGUUACUAACAGGUUAUGCUGAGGACUCUAGAGAGACUGCCGUCGUAAGAUGUGAGGAAGGUGGGGAUGACGUCAAAUCAGCACGGCCCUUACGUCCGGGGCUACACACGUGUUACAAUGGGGGGUACAGAAGGCAGCUAGCGGGCGACCGUAUGCUAAUCCCAAAAUCCUCUCUCAGUUCGGAUCGAAGUCUGCAACCCGACUUCGUGAAGCUGGAUUCGCUAGUAAUCGCGCAUCAGCCACGGCGCGGUGAAUACGUUCCCGGGCCUUGUACACACCGCCCGUCAAGCCAUGGGAGCCGGGGGUACCUGAAGUACGUAACCGCAAGGAUCGUCCUAGGGUAAAACUGGAGACUGG